Molecule: ribosomal RNA, 119 nt
Filed under: Triticum aestivum (bread wheat)
Lineage: Eukaryota; Viridiplantae; Streptophyta; Magnoliopsida; Poales; Poaceae
Also listed under: 1 other name
Source: RNAcentral
GGAUGCGAUCAUACCAGCACUAAAGCACCGGAUCCCAUCAGAACUCCGAAGUUAAGCGUGCUUGGGCGAGAGUAGUACUAGGAUGGGUGACCUCUUGGGAAGUCCUCGUGUUGCAUGCC